RNAcentral lists this ribosomal RNA (489 nucleotides) under uncultured bacterium. Its description in RNAcentral is "partial 16S ribosomal RNA". It matches the Rfam family "Bacterial small subunit ribosomal RNA", at positions 28 to 507 of the family's 1533-position model. The record is from RNAcentral.
GACGAACGCUGGCGGCGUGCUUAACACAUGCAAGUCGAACGGAAAGGCCCCCACCUUGGUGGGGGUGCUCGAGUGGCGAACGGGUGAGUAACACGUGGGUGAUCUGCCCUGUACUUCGGGAUAAGCUUGGGAAACUGGGUCUAAUACCGGAUAGGACCAUGGUUUAGUGUCUCAUGGUGGAAAAAUUAUUGUUUUGGUGCAGGAUGAGCUCGCGGCCUAUCAGCUUGUUGGUGGGGUAAUGGCCUACCAGGGCGUCGACGGGUAGCCGGCCUGAGAGGGUGGACGGCCACAUUGGGACUGAGAUACGGCCCAGACUCCUACGGGAGGCAGCAGUGGGGAAUAUUGCACAAUGGGCGCAAGCCUGAUGCAGCGACGCCGCGUGGGGGAUGACGGCCUUCGGGUUGUAAACUCCUUUCGUUAGGGACGAAGCCACACCUUUUUUGGGUGUGGUGACGGUACCUUUGUUAAGAAGCACCGGCUAACUACGUG